CAGGCCUAACACAUGCAAGUCGAGCGGAGUUAUUUUGAAAGCUUGCUUUCAAAAUAACUUAGCGGCGGACGGGUGAGUAACACGUAGGCAACCUGCCCCUUAGACUGGGAUAACUACCGGAAACGGUAGCUAAUACCGGAUAAUUUCUUUUUUCUCCUGAAGAAAGAAUGAAAGACGGAGCAAUCUGUCACUGAGGGAUGGGCCUGCGGCGCAUUAGCUAGUUGGUGGGGUAACGGCCCACCAAGGCGACGAUGCGUAGCCGACCUGAGAGGGUGAACGGCCACACUGGGACUGAGACACGGCCCAGACUCCUACGGGAGGCAGCAGUAGGGAAUCUUCCGCAAUGGACGAAAGUCUGACGCAGCAACGCCGCGUGAGUGAUGAAGGUUUUCGGAUCGUAAAGCUCUGUUGCCAGGGAAGAACG
Molecule: ribosomal RNA, 424 nt
Filed under: Paenibacillus sp. Lgg20.11
Lineage: Bacteria; Bacillati; Bacillota; Bacilli; Caryophanales; Paenibacillaceae
Description: bacterial SSU rRNA
Rfam family: Bacterial small subunit ribosomal RNA
Source: RNAcentral